CGACGGGUGAGUAACGCGUGAGGAACCUGCCUCAGAUGGGGGAUAACACACCGAAAGGUGUGCUAAUACCGCAUAACAUAUGGGAGGGGCAUCCCUUUCAUAUCAAAGAUUUAUUGCUCUGAGAUGGCCUCGCGUCCAAUUAGCUAGUUGGCGGGGUAACGGCCCACCAAGGCGACGAUUGGUAGCCGGACUGAGAGGUUGAACGGCCACAUUGGGACUGAGACACGGCCCAGACUCCUACGGAAGGCAGCAG
Molecule: ribosomal RNA, 253 nt
Filed under: uncultured bacterium
Lineage: Bacteria
Description: partial 16S ribosomal RNA
Rfam family: Bacterial small subunit ribosomal RNA
Source: RNAcentral